Molecule: unclassified non-coding RNA, 224 nt
Filed under: Hevea brasiliensis (rubber tree)
Lineage: Eukaryota; Viridiplantae; Streptophyta; Magnoliopsida; Malpighiales; Euphorbiaceae
Source: RNAcentral
AAAAAGUGCUACCAUUUGGAAAUUGGGAAUAUGGUUGCCUGCAAACUCAAUCUUGUGCUCUAGCUGAUUGGGGUUUGGUAGGAUUUUAAUAUGCAAAUUCUGCGACUAAUUGUUUCUGUGGGAUAAAAGAACUUGACAUUCUUUUGCAACUGAAAUGAUUAAAAACCAGAGGAACUAUUAACAAGUGACGUGCUGAUGCCUGCUCGAGCAAACCUUUCUUGUUU